ACUGGAUCAGCAGCCUUCAGUUGGAGGAACACAGCCAGCUCCUGGUGACCCCACAGGGAGAGAGCGGGAGCACUAAGGAUUCCAAACUCAGUCCUCCUGAUCUUCAUCAGUAUUCGUCAUUGGCCAAACAAAUAACUGAAAUUCAGAGGGCAAGAGAGCUCAUUGUUAUCUAAACAGGUCAGCAUGGCAGACAGCGAGGCGAAGAGGGAAGGAAGGUGGAUUUGGAAGAACAAACGGGAGUGACCUAGUGCAGCCCUGAUAAACCCGCUGGGAGCUACCAGAGUAUUUGACCUUGGGCACAGCUGGGGUGGCCCCGAUGGCGCUGCUGUCUGCUGAUGGUCUCCACAGCUUCCCCAGCGAGGCCUUCCUGGAAGGAGUGCUGAGCAGCAAAGCUCUGUGGUCACCACUCAGGACAAAGGGGAACCAGCUGAACAGAGCCUUUCAUGUGACAACAAAAAACGACCUGGCUCAAACAUCACGACAGGCAUCUGUGGAGCCUGGGAAAUGACCUUUCUCAUGGGGAGAACACAGAACACACAAAGCUUUCUCUUAAAAGUCUACAAAAUUAUAAUCUGAUAACAACAGAACGUUUUGGUAUUUUGAGUAAUAGGUGUCACAUCGGAAUUGAUAUUUGCCAAAUUUGGCAUGAUAAUUGAAUGCUUUUUGCUUAUUUAUAUUUCAUAUUUUAGUUGUUUUCUAAUAACCAAAAACAUUUGUGUAUUUUUAAUAAUAGUAGAGGUAAAUGAAAUUUUACAUGUCAGUAAAAAAACUGAAAGAUGAUGCUUGUAAUUUCAAGUCGAUUAAAGAAAAUUAUUAAUAAAACAAUAAAAUACAAAUUAUACAUUUUAUAUUGUGAUACUUAAAGUAGAUGACCUGGUUUAUCCCUGAAGAGAAAGCAUGGAUGCAUAAACCAGACCAUAUUGUAAAUAUUUCAAAUUCAUUGGUAAACAUUGUUUUAAGAAGGUGAUUAGCAAAUAUUGUUUCAAGAAGGUGAUUAAGAAGGUGAUGCAAAAUUUGGAGUACUUUCUGUUUUGUAUUUUUCGUGACUAUUUGUGAGCACUUGGUGCUUAAGACACACUCAAAGAGGUACUGACAAUUUAUCAUAUUCUAAAGCAAUAAAACAGGUUGAAAAUAUCUAAUCAGCUUCCUGGCUAAUCAAGUAAAUGUUACAGAAAUGGGUCAAUAAGACGGUUAGAAAACCCAGCAACUCCCUAGUAUAGACCUCUUCCUUGAGCUCCAAAUCAGAUAGCUUUAUCCAUCUCUCUGAAAAGCAUCUCCAAUUUGAAACCUCUUUCUAUUUCACCUGCUUCACCUGACAGGACCUACCUCCCCAUCACCCACAGAUCCACUGGCCCAGGUGUGUGUACCUAGUCCACCCAAUCGCCAAAGCCAGGAACCUGGGGGCAGCCCAGGCUCCUUCCCCCUUCUCAUAAUAUUCAACUGGCCACCAGAUUCUGCCUUUUGACAUUGCUCUGACCCCACCUCGCCUCUGCAUGCCCUCCGACACUGCUUUAGCUCAGGACCCUGUCUCCCAGCUUCCUGGAGCAGGUGCCUCUCCCCUGGUCUCCCCACCUCCAGAGUUACCACUGUCUAUGGCAGUGGCUUUCAAAGCCAUUCCUGGACCAGCAGUAGCAGCUAGAAAUGCGUUAGGAAUGCAAAUCCUCAAGCCCCAUCCCAGACUUUCAGAAUUGGAAACUCUGGGGGUGGGUCUGGCAAUGGUGUUUGAGGGAGCUCUCGGGAGGCACUGAUAGAGUAAAGGCCAUUAGAGUGGGCUCUAGUUCAAUAUGACUGAUAUCCUUAUAAAAAGAAGAAAUUUGGACAGAGUCGUACAAAGAAGGAAGAAAAUGUGAGGAGACACAGGGAGAAAAUGACUGUCUACAAGCUAAGGAGAGAGGCCUGGAACAGACCUUUCCUUCACAGCCAACAGAAGGAACCAGCUUUGCCGACACCUUGAUCUUGGACUUCCAGCUUCCAGACUGUGAGACCAUCGGUGUCUGUUAUUGGAGCCACCCAGCUCAUGACACUUUGUUACAGUAGCCCUAGGGAACUAACAGAGUAGUGAAAAGCAAGAAUUCUCCAAUGAUGGAUCCCUCAGCUUUGGCAUUAACUAGCAUUGUGACUAUGAGCAAGUUACUUUAUUUUUCUGUGCUUUGGUUUUGUCAUCUGUAAGAUGGGGCUGUAUGUACCUCAUAAACUUGCUAAAAAGAUUAAAUGAGUUGAU
This 2221-nucleotide long non-coding RNA is filed under the name Homo sapiens (human). RNAcentral describes it as "HSALNT0375117". The record is from RNAcentral. Lineage: Eukaryota; Metazoa; Chordata; Mammalia; Primates; Hominidae.